GACGAACGCUGGCGGCGUGCUUAACACAUGCAAGUCGAACGGUAAGGCCCUUCGGGGUACACGAGUGGCGAACGGGUGAGUAACACGUGGGUGAUCUGCCCUGCACUUCGGGAUAAGCCUGGGAAACUGGGUCUAAUACCGGAUAGGACUCCUGGCUUCCUGGUUGGGGGUGGAACGCUUUUGCGGUGUGGGAUGAGCCCGCGGCCUAUCAGCUUGUUGGUGGGGUGAUGGCCUACCAAGGCGACGACGGGUAGCCGGCCUGAGAGGGUGACCGGCCACACUGGGACUGAGAUACGGCCCAGACUCCUACGGGAGGCAGCAGUGGGGAAUAUUGCACAAUGGGCGCAAGCCUGAUGCAGCGACGCCGCGUGAGGGAUGACGGCCUUCGGGUUGUAAACCUCUUUCAGCACCGACGAAGCGCAAGUGACGGUAGGUGCAGAAGAAGGACCGGCCAACUACGUGCCAGCCGCCGCAGUAA
This 478-nucleotide ribosomal RNA is filed under the name uncultured bacterium. RNAcentral describes it as "partial 16S ribosomal RNA". It matches the Rfam family "Bacterial small subunit ribosomal RNA", at positions 28 to 523 of the family's 1533-position model. The record is from RNAcentral.